RNAcentral lists this ribosomal RNA (111 nucleotides) under Gopherus agassizii (Agassiz's desert tortoise). Lineage: Eukaryota; Metazoa; Chordata; Testudines; Testudinidae. The record is from RNAcentral.
ACCUGCAGCCAUGCCAAUACAUGCUGUGAUCCCACUAGAGCUCACAAAUUGAGCAGUGUCAAGAUGCAUCAGUACUGGGAUGGGAGAUUUCCAAGGAGUAGGCUGCCGGGA